GAUGAAGAACGUAGCGAAAUGCGAUAAGUAAUGUGAAUUGCAGAAUUCAGUGAAUCAUCGAAUCUUUGAACGCACAUUGCGCCCCCUGGUAUUCCGGGGGGCAUGCCUGUUCGAGCGUCAUUACAACCCUCAAGCUCUGCUUGGUAUUGGGCCCCGCCAGUUCUGGCGGGCCCUAAAGUCAGUGGCGGUGCCUUCCGGCUCCGAGCGUAGUAAUUCUUCUCGCUCUGGAGACCCGGUUGUGUGCUUGCCAACAACCCUCAAUUUUUUAAGGUUGACCUCGGAUCAGGUAGGGAUACCCGCUGAACUUAAGCAUAUCAAUAAGCGGAGAA
Molecule: unclassified non-coding RNA, 329 nt
Filed under: soil metagenome
Description: partial contains 5.8S ribosomal RNA, internal transcribed spacer 2, and large subunit ribosomal RNA
Rfam family: 5.8S ribosomal RNA (bases 1-120)
Source: RNAcentral